UGUGUCUCUCGCUGGUGCUGGCACAAGAGCUUGGGAUCCGUCUCCUCUUUCGCCUCCUGCACCUUGGGAGCCCCGGGCUACUCUCUCACAGCCCCUGUUGCCCUGUGAUCUGUAGGUCCUUGGGGACGCAUAGUUAAGGUGCCAGGACAUCCUGGAAGCUGGGAAAUGAUUGUUGCAGUGGCAGGACCAAGGUCAAAUGAGUUAUAGCCAAGUCUACAGUAAGAUGUGGCAGUAUUCUGUUUUGAAGCCGG
This 251-nucleotide long non-coding RNA is filed under the name Homo sapiens (human). RNAcentral describes it as "PREDICTED lncRNA (TCONS_00268867)". Lineage: Eukaryota; Metazoa; Chordata; Mammalia; Primates; Hominidae. The record is from RNAcentral.